AGAGCGAACGCUGGCGGCAGGCUUAACACAUGCAAGUCGAACGGAUCCUUCGGGAUUAGUGGCGGACGGGCGAGUAACACGUGGGAACGUGCCUUUAGGUUCGGAACAACACAGGGAAACUUGUGCUAAUACCGGAUGUGCCCUUCGGGGGAAAGAUUUAUCGCCUUUAGAGCGGCCCGCGUCUGAUUAGCUUGUUGGUGAGGUAAAGGCUCACCAAGGCUACGAUCAGUAGCUGGU
Molecule: ribosomal RNA, 237 nt
Filed under: uncultured bacterium
Lineage: Bacteria
Description: partial small subunit ribosomal RNA
Rfam family: Bacterial small subunit ribosomal RNA
Source: RNAcentral